GGGUCAGUAGGUUGGUCGUGCCACCGGUACGUACUGGUCUCACUGAUUCCUCCUUCCUGAAGAACCGUAAUGCCACUAAUUUGGUGUUGCGGGGAAACAGGACUGUUACUUUGAAAAAAUUAGAGUGUUUAAGGCAAGCUAACGCUUGAAUACAUUAGCAUGGAAUAAUGAAAUAGGACGAUCGAUCCUAUUUUGUUGGUUUCUAGGAUUGACGUA
RNAcentral lists this ribosomal RNA (216 nucleotides) under Glomeromycotina sp. Its description in RNAcentral is "partial small subunit ribosomal RNA". The stretch from base 87 to 216 matches the Rfam family "Eukaryotic small subunit ribosomal RNA", at positions 733 to 864 of the family's 1831-position model. The record is from RNAcentral. Lineage: Eukaryota; Fungi; Glomeromycota.